This 509-nucleotide unclassified non-coding RNA is filed under the name Hevea brasiliensis (rubber tree). Lineage: Eukaryota; Viridiplantae; Streptophyta; Magnoliopsida; Malpighiales; Euphorbiaceae. The record is from RNAcentral.
GCACUUUCAAUUCAAGCAGAAAUACCUUUUAGCUAGCGAAGUAGGGUAACUCAAUGGAGCCCAAACCAAUGACAUCAAGGUCAAAAAGAACAAAUAAUACAAUUUUAACCUGAUUCAGUUUCUUAUGCCUUAUGACAACCUUUUGCCUGCAUCCACAGAGAGAAUAAACUAUCACUUAGAGAGAAUUAAUAUGUACAAGAAUCCAUUGAGUUUACCGCCUCUAACCCAAUUUUAUAACCCUUGUACAUCCACUGUCAACUCCAAAAAUUAAGUUUCUCACCUUCUCUUGUAGCCAGGCAGAGGCUAAUGGCCACUCCAAGCCACCAAAUCCUUAAUAAUAUGUUAAGAGUAAUAAGGAGAACAAAGGGCUGUGAUUGUAUGUGAUUAUUCUAUUACUAUCAGUAAUGUGAUAGUUAACUGAAGAACUGAAAGUUUUUAGGAAAGUUGUAAUUGGCGGGAACAGUUAUAGGAAGGGCUAGUAGGUGUAUAAAUACUAGCUAUUGUAACUG